RNAcentral lists this ribosomal RNA (490 nucleotides) under uncultured bacterium. RNAcentral describes it as "partial 16S ribosomal RNA". It matches the Rfam family "Bacterial small subunit ribosomal RNA", at positions 28 to 507 of the family's 1533-position model. The record is from RNAcentral.
GAUGAACGCUAGCUACAGGCUUAACACAUGCAAGUCGCGGGGCAGCAUGGGGGUUGCUUGCAAUCCCCGAUGGCGACCGGCGCACGGGUGAGUAACGCGUAUCCAACCUGCCCUUCACCACGGGAUAACCCGGCGAAAGUCGGACUAAUACCGUAUGUUGUCCAUUGACGGCAUCCGAUUUGGACGAAAGGUUUGGCGGUGAAGGAUGGGGAUGCGUCCGAUUAGCUGGACGGCGGGGUGACGGCCCACCGUGGCGACGAUCGGUAGGGGUUCUGAGAGGAAGGUCCCCCACACUGGAACUGAGACACGGUCCAGACUCCUACGGGAGGCGGCAGUGAGGAAUAUUGGUCAAUGGGCGUAAGCCUGAACCAGCCAAGUAGCGUGCAGGAUGACGGCCCUAUGGGCUGUAAACUGCUUUUAUGCGGGGAUAAAGUGGCCCACGUGUGGGUUUUUGCAGGUACCGCAUGAAUAAGGACCGGCUAAUUCCGUG